RNAcentral lists this ribosomal RNA (212 nucleotides) under uncultured bacterium. RNAcentral describes it as "partial 16S ribosomal RNA". It matches the Rfam family "Bacterial small subunit ribosomal RNA", at positions 1289 to 1500 of the family's 1533-position model. The record is from RNAcentral.
CAGUUCGGAUUGCAGGCUNCAACCCGCCUGUAUGAAGUUGGAAUCGCUAGUAAUCGCGGAUCAGCAUGCCGCGGUGAAUACGUUCCCGGGCCUUGUACACACCGCCCGUCACACCAUGAGAGUCGGGAACACCCGAAGUCCGUAGCCUAACCGCAAGGAGGGCGCGGCCGAAGGUGGGUUCGAUAAUUGGGGUGAAGUCGUAACAAGGUACC